GAUAGGGCUGCCUGUGGGAAGUUAGGAGCCUGGACAGGGCAUGAGGAAAUCUUCUGAGGUGUUGGGAAUAUUUGACAUCUUGUUUGUGGUGGUGGAUACAAAGGUUGAGGCAUUCACUAAAGCUCACCACGUCGUUCAUCUGCUAUCUACAUAAUUCACUCAAAAGACCGUACAUUGAGUGUCCGAUAUGCCCAGGCUCCUGCUGAUCCAGCAAGCAACUGCAAACAGCUCUAGAAAUGCUGUAACCCUGUUGUCCUGACUGGCCCCCGGUGAAUGAGCAGAAUUAGUUGAUGAUGGCUCCAAACUUUGCCAUUGAGUGUUCAGAUCUGCACUUUAGGGGGUUUGAAUAGAUGCAACAGCAUCUAUUGACAGCAUCUAGAAGCAUCUAGAAGACAGUUGGGGAAGAGCAUCUAGAAAGUAGUUGGGAAACAGCAAGUGAGAAGCAGAGAGAAUAGGUGGAAGCCACAGUUGGCAGAAGCCCUAAGGAAGAAGUUCAUUUUCUCUGCAUGUUACACCAUGAUGAAGGGAUUUUCAUUUUACAAAGGUUCAAAUAAUGAUUGAAGUCUACGUUCACAUAUCCCUGGGAUGAAAAAUUAAGUUAUUCCAUAGAGUUGCCCAAACCUUCUGGAAUGUCAUUUCCUGCACCCCUCUGUUCACAUCCUGGUGGUAGAUUUUUUUUACCCAGUGUAACUUAAUACAGUAGGAGGCUGAAACUCAUCGGUAAUCUCGACUUUUGUGUGGCAAGAAUGGUAUAGUAUCUAAGGUCCAAAAACUAUGGAGGCAGUGUUGAGGAUUCACCUUGGUCUUCAUUUCUAUCUUUCUUGAGAUGUUUUUCCAUCCAUAGACACUACUUCAACUUGGCACUUAUCUGCAAAUAUUACCGGUAAGCACAGUUGCAAAGAAAGCUCAGUGGUGUGGCUUUAGAAUGAUCCUGUUUGGAAAGCUAAGUGCAAGCAAUGUUGAACAUUUAAAAAAUGAGGAUUAAAUGCAGGUGCCAGUAAAUAGUUUGUGUACCUUACUUGAGCUAAAAGAUCACACAAAAGUAUGUUGUUAACUUUUCUGUUCUAUUGUCCAAUACUUUGUAGUGAGUUCAGAGAGUAUGCAUAUGUUCUACACCAAACAUAUUCUAUAUCAAAUAUAUAUAUGUUCUAUAUCAAAAGUAAGUAUCAAUUGUAUUUAUCCAAUUUUGUGUGGAAGCUCAAUUCUUCCCAAAAUAUUUGCAUAUUAUCUAUAAAUAACCAAAUAUAUAAAG
This is a long non-coding RNA of Cebus imitator (Panamanian white-faced capuchin), 1252 nucleotides long. RefSeq lists it as uncharacterized. The record is from RefSeq and is a predicted model, not a curated record. The transcript has 3 exons. Lineage: Eukaryota; Metazoa; Chordata; Mammalia; Primates; Cebidae.